This 357-nucleotide small RNA is filed under the name Histoplasma capsulatum. Its description in RNAcentral is "hypothetical RNA". RNAcentral also lists the same sequence under 1 other name. The record is from RNAcentral. Lineage: Eukaryota; Fungi; Ascomycota; Eurotiomycetes; Onygenales; Ajellomycetaceae.
CUAGACAUGACUCGCCCAAGAAUUCUGCAACGCAAAGCCAAGUAGGGUAUGUCUUUAUCAAUGACUAUGCUUGUAGCGAUUGAAUCCAAUUGGUAUGGCCAGUCGGAAACAGAACCCCUUUUAAUACAGUCUUCUGCCAUGUCGGGGAAUGGGGGUACAUACAUAUGAAACUUGUUGCUGCGAACUGGGCGGGAGAGAUGGUGAUAUCUUAAAGGAGCCAUCAUUAUGGAUCCAUGGAUAAUCUGAUCGCCUUGACACAUGGUUAGCUCGAUAAAACAUGGGUUGACUGGAAAUGCUUGUUGACGAAAGAUGGAGUUGAAUAUGAAACUGGACAUCAUGAAAUAUUUUUAUUUGUUC